This 1279-nucleotide long non-coding RNA is filed under the name Macaca fascicularis (crab-eating macaque). RNAcentral describes it as "lncRNA (ENSMFAG00000056554.1)". The record is from RNAcentral. Lineage: Eukaryota; Metazoa; Chordata; Mammalia; Primates; Cercopithecidae.
GAAUCUCACUCUGUUGCCCUGGCUGGAGUGCAGUGGUGUGAUCUCGGCUCACUGCAAACUCUGCCUCCCGGCUUCAAGCGAUUCUUGUGCCUCAGCCUCCUGAGUAGCUGGGACUAUAGAUGCAUGCCACCAUGCCCGGCUAAUUUUUGUAUUUUUAGCAGAGGCGGGGCUUUGCCAUGUUGCCCAGGCUGGUCUCGAACUCCUGCCCUCCUUGGCCUCCCAACGUGCUGGGAUUAUAGGUGUGAGCCCGGGAGGUAGAAAUUGCAGUGAGCUGAGAUGGUGCUACUGCACUCAGCCUGGGCAAUAGACCCAGAAAUUGUCUCAAAGGAAAAAACAAAAAGUUGAGGAUCAUGUAUAAUUUUAUGAAGCUAGUUUUACCCUGAUAACAAAACCACACAGAGUACAAAAAAGAAAGCUACGGAAACAAUAACUCUCAUGAAUAUACACACAAAAAUCCUCAACAAAAUAUUAGCAAAUAAUACCUACAAAAAUUUUAAAAAUUUUUGUUAAUGGGACAAAAUUAGCAAAUAUAAUCCAACAAUUUAUAAAAAUAAUUAUUCAUCAUGACCAAGUGGGGGUUUUUCCAGGGAUGCAAGGCUGGUUCAGUAUUUCAAAAUAAAUCAAUGGACUCUUCUAUAUUAAUGACUCGAAGAAAAAUCACAUGAUUAUAUCAAUAGGUGCUCACAAAACAUUUGCAAAAUUAAACAUCCAUUCAUGAUAUAAAUUCUCAGAAAAUUAGGAAUAGAAGAGGAACUUCCUCAAUUUGAUAAGGAGCAUGUACAAAAACCCUACCGCCAACGUUAUACACCUGGUCCUCCGUAUCUGUGGAUUCAACCAACAAGGGAUCAAAAAUACUUGGGGAAAAAAACCCCAAUAAGGAUGUUGUGUUUGUACUGAACACGUACAGCCUUUUUUUCCUUGUCAUUAUUUCCUACCUAGACUAUAUGGUAUGUCAACUAUUUACAUAGCGUUUACAUUGUAUUAUAAGUAAUCUAGAGAUAAUUUAAAGUAUGCAGGAAGAUAUGCCUAGGUUAUAUGCAAAUACUACACCAUUUUAUCUCAGGGACUUGAAGAUCCCAGGAUUUUGGUAUAUGUUGGGGAUCCUGGAGCCAAUCUCCCAUGGACAUCAAGGGACAAGUGUACUUAAUGGUGAAACGCUGGAUACUUUCUCCUAAAAUUGGGAACAAGGCAAGAAAGGCCUCAUCACUCUUUCACUCUUAUUCAUUAUAGCACUGGAACCUCUAGUCAGUGGAACAAGACCAAAAAAAAAAAAAAAAAA